CGUGUAGGCGGCCGUGCAAGUCGGAUGUGAAAGCCCUCGGCUUAACCGAGGAAGUGCGUUCGAAACUGCAUGGCUUGAGUACCGGAGAGGGUGGUGGAAUUCCCGGUGUAGAGGUGAAAUUCGUAGAUAUCGGGAGGAACACCAGUGGCGAAGGCGACCACCUGGACGGCUACUGACGCUGAGACGCGAAAGCGUGGGGAGCAAACA
Molecule: ribosomal RNA, 207 nt
Filed under: uncultured delta proteobacterium
Lineage: Bacteria; Deltaproteobacteria
Description: partial 16S ribosomal RNA
Rfam family: Bacterial small subunit ribosomal RNA
Source: RNAcentral